GGAUGAGCCCGCGGCCUAUCAGCUUGUUGGUGAGGUAGUAGCUCACCAAGGCGACGACGGGUAGCCGGCCUGAGAGGGCGACCGGCCACACUGGGACUGAGACACGGCCCAGACUCCUACGGGAGGCAGCAGUGGGGAAUAUUGCACAAUGGGCGAAAGCCUGAUGCAGCGACGCCGCGUGAGGGAUGACGGCCUUCGGGUUGUAAACCUCUUUCAGCAGGGAAGAAGCGAAAGUGACGGUACCUGCAGAAGAAGCGCCGGCUAACUACGUGCCAGCAGCCGCGGUAAUACGUAGGGCGCGAGCGUUGUCCGGAAUUAUUGGGCGUAAAGAGCUCGUAGGCGGCUUGUCACGUCGGUUGUGAAAGCCCGGGGCUUAACCCCGGGUCUGCAGUCGAUACGGGCAGGCUAGAGUUCGGUAGGGGAGAUCGGAAUUCCUGGUGUAGCGGUGAAAUGCGCAGAUAUCAGGAGGAACACCGGUGGCGAAGGCGGAUCUCUGGGCCGAUACUGACGCUGAGGAGCGAAAGCGUGGGGAGCGAACAGGAUUAGAUACCCUGGUAGUCCACGCCGUAAACGGUGGGCACUAGGUGUGGGCAACAUUCCACGUUGUCCGUGCCGCAGCUAACGCAUUAAGUGCCCCGC
RNAcentral lists this ribosomal RNA (639 nucleotides) under uncultured Streptomyces sp. RNAcentral's name for it is "bacterial SSU rRNA". It matches the Rfam family "Bacterial small subunit ribosomal RNA", at positions 223 to 872 of the family's 1533-position model. The record is from RNAcentral. Lineage: Bacteria; Bacillati; Actinomycetota; Actinomycetes; Kitasatosporales; Streptomycetaceae.